AACGAACGCUGGCGGCAUGCCUAACACAUGCAAGUCGAACGAGACCUUCGGGUCUAGUGGCGCACGGGUGCGUAACGCGUGGGAACCUGCCCUUAGGUUCGGAAUAACUCCCCGAAAGGGGUGCUAAUACCGGAUAAUGUCUUCGGACCAAAGAUUUAUCGCCUUUGGAUGGGCCCGCGUUGGAUUAGCUAGUUGGUAGGGUAAACGCCUACCAAGGCGACGAUCCAUAGCUGGUCUGAGAGGAUGAUCAGCCACACUGGGACUGAGACACGGCCCAGACUCCUACGGGAGGCGGCAGUGGGGAAUAUUGGACAAUGGGCGAAAGCCUGAUCCAGCAAUGCCGCGUGAGUGAUGAAGGCCUUAGGGUUGUAAAGCUCUUUUACCCGGGAUGAUAAUGACAGUACCGGGAGAAUAAGCUCCGGCUAACUCCGUG
This 433-nucleotide ribosomal RNA is filed under the name uncultured bacterium. Its description in RNAcentral is "partial 16S ribosomal RNA". It matches the Rfam family "Bacterial small subunit ribosomal RNA", at positions 29 to 507 of the family's 1533-position model. The record is from RNAcentral.